Molecule: ribosomal RNA, 510 nt
Filed under: uncultured bacterium
Lineage: Bacteria
Description: bacterial SSU rRNA
Rfam family: Bacterial small subunit ribosomal RNA
Source: RNAcentral
AGAGUUUGAUCAUGGCUCAGAGUGAACGCUGGCGGCAGGCCUAAUACAUGCAAGUCGAACGGCAGCACAGCAGAGCUUGCUCUGUGGGUGGCGAGUGGCGGACGGGUGAGGAAUACGUGGGAAUCUGCCCAGUCGUGGGGGAUAACGUAGGGAAACUUACGCUAAUACCGCAUGCGCCCUUCGGGGGAAAGCCGGGGACCUUCGGGCCUGGCGCGAUUGGAUGAGCCCACGUCGGAUUAGCUAGUUGGCGGGGUAAAGGCCCACCAAGGCGACGAUCCGUAGCUGGUCUGAGAGGAUGAUCAGCCACACUGGAACUGAGACACGGUCCAGACUCCUACGGGAGGCAGCAGUAGGGAAUAUUGGACAAUGGGCGCAAGCCUGAUCCAGCCAUGCCGCGUGAGUGAAGAAGGCCCUCGGGUUGUAAAGCUCUUUUGUCCGGAAAGAAAAGCGCCGGGUUAAUACCCCGGUGUCCUGACGGUACCGGAAGAAUAAGCACCGGCUAACUUCGUG